GACGAACGCUGGCGGCGUGCUUAACACAUGCAAGUCGAACGGAAAGGCCCUGCUUUUGUGGGGUGCUCGAGUGGCGAACGGGUGAGUAACACGUGAGUAACCUGCCCUUGACUUUGGGAUAACUUCAGGAAACUGGGGCUAAUACCGGAUAGGAGCUCCUGCUGCAUGGUGGGGGUUGGAAAGUUUCGGCGGUUGGGGAUGGACUCGCGGCUUAUCAGCUUGUUGGUGGGGUAGUGGCUUACCAAGGCUUUGACGGGUAGCCGGCCUGAGAGGGUGACCGGCCACAUUGGGACUGAGAUACGGCCCAGACUCCUACGGGAAGCAGCAGUGGGGAAUAUUGCACAAUGGGCGGAAGCCUGAUGCAGCAACGCCUCGUGCGGGAUGACGGCCUUCGGGUUGUAAACCGCUUUCGCCUGUGACGAAGCGUGAGUGACGGUAAUGGGUAAAGAAGCACCGGCUAACUACGUG
This 468-nucleotide ribosomal RNA is filed under the name uncultured bacterium. Its description in RNAcentral is "partial 16S ribosomal RNA". It matches the Rfam family "Bacterial small subunit ribosomal RNA", at positions 28 to 507 of the family's 1533-position model. The record is from RNAcentral.